GACAGAGGGUGCUAGCGUUGUUCGGAAUGACUGGGCGUAAAGGGCGCGUAGGCGGCCGCUUGCGUCGGAUGUGAAAGCCCGGGGCUCAACCCCGGAACGGCAUCCGAUACGGGGCGGCUCGAGACCGAGAGAGGUGAGUGGAAUACCCAGUGUAGAGGUGAAAUUCGUAGAUAUUGGGUGGAACACCGGUGGCGAAAGCGGCUCACUGGCUCGGUUCUGACGCUGAGGCGCGAAAGCGUGGGGAGCAAACAGG
RNAcentral lists this ribosomal RNA (253 nucleotides) under uncultured bacterium. RNAcentral describes it as "partial 16S ribosomal RNA". It matches the Rfam family "Bacterial small subunit ribosomal RNA", at positions 524 to 776 of the family's 1533-position model. The record is from RNAcentral.